RNAcentral lists this ribosomal RNA (498 nucleotides) under uncultured bacterium. RNAcentral describes it as "partial 16S ribosomal RNA". It matches the Rfam family "Bacterial small subunit ribosomal RNA", at positions 30 to 523 of the family's 1533-position model. The record is from RNAcentral.
AUUGAACGCUGGCGGCAUGCCUUACACAUGCAAGUCGAACGGUAACAGGUCUUCGGAUGCUGACGAGUGGCGAACGGGUGAGUAAUGCAUCGGAACGUGCCCAGUUGUGGGGGAUAACUGCUCGAAAGAGCAGCUAAUACCGCAUACGACCUGAGGGUGAAAGCGGGGGAUCGCAAGACCUCGCGCAAUUGGAGCGGCCGAUGUCAGAUUAGGUAGUUGGUGGGGUAAAGGCCUACCAAGCCGACGAUCUGUAGUUGGUCUGAGAGGACGACCAGCCACACUGGGGCUGAGACACGGCCCAGACUCCUACGGGAGGCAGCAGUGGGGAAUUUUGGACAAUGGGCGCAAGCCUGAUCCAGCAAUGCCGCGUGCAGGAAGAAGGCCUUCGGGUUGUAAACUGCUUUUGUCAGGGAAGAAAUCCUCUGGGUUAAUACCCCGGGGGGAUGACGGUACCUGAAGAAUAAGCACCGGCUAACUACGUGCCAGCCGCCGCGGUAA